RNAcentral lists this ribosomal RNA (473 nucleotides) under uncultured organism. Its description in RNAcentral is "partial 16S ribosomal RNA". It matches the Rfam family "Bacterial small subunit ribosomal RNA", at positions 332 to 797 of the family's 1533-position model. The record is from RNAcentral.
UACACUCCUACGGGAGGCAGCAGUGGGGAAUUUUGGACAAUGGGCGAAAGCCUGAUCCAGCAAUGCCGCGUGAGUGAAGAAGGCCUUCGGGUUGUAAAGCUCUUUUGUCAGGGAAGAAACGGUGAAAGCUAAUAUCUUUUGCUAAUGACGGUACCUGAAGAAUAAGCACCGGCUAACUACGUGCCAGCAGCCGCGGUAAUAAGUAGGGUGCAAGCGUUAAUCGGAAUUACUGGGCGUAAAGCGUGCGCAGGCGGUUUUGUAAGUCUGAUGUGAAAUCCCCGGGCUCAACCUGGGAAUUGCAUUGGAGACUGCAAGGCUAGAAUCUGGCAGAGGGGGGUAGAAUUCCACGUGUAGCAGUGAAAUGCGUAGAUAUGUGGAGGAACACCGAUGGCGAAGGCAGCCCCCUGGGUCAAGAUUGACGCUCAUGCACGAAAGCGUGGGGAGCAAACAGGAUUAGAUACCCGUGUAGUCCC